RNAcentral lists this ribosomal RNA (465 nucleotides) under uncultured Verrucomicrobiota bacterium. RNAcentral's name for it is "bacterial SSU rRNA". It matches the Rfam family "Bacterial small subunit ribosomal RNA", at positions 338 to 795 of the family's 1533-position model. The record is from RNAcentral. Lineage: Bacteria; Pseudomonadati; Verrucomicrobiota.
CCUACGGGAGGCAGCAGUCGAGAAUUUUUCACAAUGGGGGAAACCCUGAUGGAGCGACGCCGCGUGGGGGAUGAAAGGCUUUGGUCUGUAAACCCCUGUCAUCUGUGAUCAAUGUGCGGGUUUUAACAAAAUCCAGCACUGAUAGUAACAGAAGAGGAAGAGACGGCUAACUCUGUGCCAGCAGCCGCGGUAAUACAGAGGUCUCAAGCGUUGUUCGGAUUUACUGGGCGUAAAGGGUGUGUAGGUGGAUGAAAAAGUUAACUGUGAAAUCUUAGAGCUCAACUCUAAAACUGCAUUUAAUACUUUUUAUCUAGAGUAACAGAGGGGAAAUUGGAAUUCUCGGUGUAGCAGUGAAAUGCGUAGAUAUCGAGAGGAACACCAGUGGCGAAGGCGAAUUUCUGGCUGUUUACUGACACUGAGGCACGAAAGCUAAGGGAGCAAACGGGAUUAGAUACCCCAGUAGUC